UAGGGAAUCUUCCACAAUGGACGCAAGUCUGAUGGAGCAACGCCGCGUGAGUGAAGAAGGUUUUCGGACCGUAAAGCUCUGUUGUUGGUGAAGAAGGAUAGAGGUAGUAACUGGCCUUUAUUUGACGGUAAUCAACCAGAAAGUCACGGCUAACUACGUGCCAGCAGCCGCGGUAAUACGUAGGUAGCAAGCGUUGUCCGGAUUUAUUGGGGCGUAAAGCGAGCGC
RNAcentral lists this ribosomal RNA (226 nucleotides) under uncultured bacterium. RNAcentral's name for it is "partial 16S ribosomal RNA". It matches the Rfam family "Bacterial small subunit ribosomal RNA", at positions 355 to 572 of the family's 1533-position model. The record is from RNAcentral.